GCUUAUAUCAAAUUAAACAAGAUAAAAGACAUAAGAUUAAUCUUGAUGGAAUCAUCAUUUUUGUUCCAAAAUAUUACAAUUUAUGAUUGAUUUUUUUUUCUUAAAUCCUACAUCCAAUAAUACCUUUAAAAAGUACAUUAUUAUAAACCCCACUUUUCAUAGAUCUACACUUGCCAUUUCCACCCUUCUCUAAUUUUCUUAUUUUUUUUAUAAAUAUAAAAUUCUAUUCCUAUACUAAAAAUAAACAAGUAAACAUAAUUUUGACCCAAAUAUUACAUCAUGAAAAACAAAAAUAAAAUAAAAUAA
RNAcentral lists this unclassified non-coding RNA (306 nucleotides) under Hevea brasiliensis (rubber tree). Lineage: Eukaryota; Viridiplantae; Streptophyta; Magnoliopsida; Malpighiales; Euphorbiaceae. The record is from RNAcentral.